GACUAACGCUGGCGGCGUGCCUAACACAUGCAAGUCGAACGUGCUGUUAUUUGGUAGCAAUAUUGAGUGACGGGAAGUGGCGAACGGGUGAGUAACACGUAGGUAAUCUACCUCUGAGAUUGGAACAACCCAGGGAAACUUGGGCUAAUGCCGAAUAAGCCCACGCUCCGGGAGGGGUGGGGGAAAAGGAUUGGCGAAAGUAAGUCGCUUGGAGAUGGGCCUGCGGCCUAUCAGCUAGUUGGUGGGGUAAGAGCCUACCAAGGCUAAGACGGGUAGCCGGCCUGAGAGGGUGAACGGCCACACUGGGACUGAGACACGGCCCAGACUCCUACGGGAGGCAGCAGUGAGGAAUUUUCCGCAAUGGGCGCAAGCCUGACGGAGCGACGCCGCGUGAGGGAUGAAGGCUUUCGGGUCGUAAACCUCUUUUGUAAGGGAAAAAGGCGCAAGCUUGAUGGUACUUUAUGAAUAAGCCCCGGCUAACUACGUGCCAGCCGCCGCGGUAA
Molecule: ribosomal RNA, 503 nt
Filed under: uncultured bacterium
Lineage: Bacteria
Description: partial 16S ribosomal RNA
Rfam family: Bacterial small subunit ribosomal RNA
Source: RNAcentral